AACUCCUUUAAGUUAGGGGGAUAGCCCAGAGAAAUUUGGAUUAAUACCCCGUAACAUUGUUGAGUGGCAUCAUUUAGCAAUUAUAGAUUUAUCGCUUAGAGAUGGCUGUGCGGCUGAUUAGGUAGUUGGUGAGGGUAAUGGCCCACCAAGCCUUCGAUCAGUAACUGGUGUGAGAGCACGACCAGUCACACGGGCACUGAGACACGGGCCCG
This 212-nucleotide ribosomal RNA is filed under the name uncultured bacterium. Its description in RNAcentral is "partial 16S ribosomal RNA". It matches the Rfam family "Bacterial small subunit ribosomal RNA", at positions 123 to 334 of the family's 1533-position model. The record is from RNAcentral.